GCUAGCGGCAGGCUUAAUACAUGCAAGUCGAGGGGCAGCGCAGUGUAGCAAUACAUGGGCGGCGACCGGCAAACGGGUGCGGAACACGUACACAACCUUCCUUUAAGUGGGGAAUAGCCCAGGGAAACUUGGAUUAAUACCCCGUAAUAUUAUGGAGUGGCAUCACUUUAUAAUUAUAGCUCCGGCGCUUGAAGAUGGGUGUGCGGCUGAUUAGGUAGUUGGCGGGGUAACGGCCCACCAAGCCUUCGAUCAGUAACUGGUGUGAGAGCACGACCAGUCACACGGGCACUGAGACACGGGCCCGACUCCUACGGGAGGCAGCAGUAAGGAAUAUUGGGCAAUGGACGCAAGUCUGACCCAGCCAUGCCGCGUGGAGGAUGAAGGUCCUCUGGAUUGUAAACUUCUUUUCUCUGGGGCGAAAAAAGGAUAUUCUUAUCCUCCUGACAGUACCAGAGGAAUAAGCACCGGCUAACUCCGUGCCAGCAGCCGCGGUAAUACGGAGGGUGCAAGCGUUAUCCGGAUUCACUGGGUUUAAAGGGUGCGUAGGUGGGCAGGUAAGUCAGCGGUGAAAUCCCCGAGCUUAACUUGGGAACUGCCAUUGAUACUAUCUGUCUUGAAUACCUUGGAGGUGAGCGGAAUAUGUCAUGUAGCGGUGAAAUGCUUAGAUAUGACAUAGAGCACCA
Molecule: ribosomal RNA, 683 nt
Filed under: uncultured bacterium
Lineage: Bacteria
Description: bacterial SSU rRNA
Rfam family: Bacterial small subunit ribosomal RNA
Source: RNAcentral